AGCAGCCGCGGUAAUUCCAGCUCCAAUAGCGUAUAUUAAAGUUGCUGCAGUUAAAAAGCUCGUAGUUGAAUUUCGGGACCAAUAUGUCGGUCGUGCCUCGGUACGUACUGGCAUCGUUGGUUUCUCCCUUCUGACGAACCAUGAUGUCAUUUAUUUGGUGUCGUGGGGAAUCAGGACUGUUACUUUGAAAAAAUUAGAGUGUUUAAAGCAGGCUCACGCUUGAAUACAUUAGCAUGGAAUAAUGAAAUAGGACGUUUGAUUCUAUUUUGUUGGUUUCUAGGAUCGACGUAAUGAUUAAUAGGGAUAGUUGGGGGCAUUAGUAUUCAAUUGUCAGAGGUGAAAUUCUUGGAUUUAUUGAAGACUAACUACUGCGAAAGCAUUUGCCAAGGAUGUUUUCAUUAAUCAAGAACGAAAGUUAGGGGAUCGAAGACGAUCAGAUACCGUCCUAGU
Molecule: ribosomal RNA, 450 nt
Filed under: uncultured Glomeromycotina
Lineage: Eukaryota; Fungi; Glomeromycota
Description: SSU rRNA
Rfam family: Eukaryotic small subunit ribosomal RNA
Source: RNAcentral